ACGAGAAGCAGCCAGGGGAGAGAGACUGAAAAGAUGAGGUAGGAAUGACCAGGCAAUUGCGUGGCUGGGCUAACAGCAGCACAAGGCAUCCACACAAUGGGGGACUCCAGCUAUGGAAGUGAUGACCCUGUUCUUAUAACUUCAUUACACAGACCGGUUCAAACUGGAGUGGAAGACGUGUCGGUACGUAGGAGCCUGAGUACCACUGAGAUGAGAGCAACGUAAAUAUAUAAACAGGAAUACUAAAUAAUGGAACCCACUUCUCUCCCACAGAAGCAUUCCUCCAAAGCUUCCUAUGAAUAUUAAAUCUCCAAUGAAACCUCCAAGAAUCUGCAGA
Tyto alba (common barn owl) is the source of this 337-nucleotide long non-coding RNA. RefSeq lists it as uncharacterized. The record is from RefSeq and is a predicted model, not a curated record. The transcript has 4 exons. NCBI's taxonomy places the organism in Eukaryota, Metazoa, Chordata, Aves, Strigiformes, Tytonidae.